GGAGAGGUGUCCGAGUGGUCGAAGGUGCUUGACUCGAAAUCAAGUGUGCAGCAAUGUACCGUGGGUUCGAAUCCCACCCUCUCCGCCA
RNAcentral lists this transfer RNA (88 nucleotides) under Selenomonas sputigena. RNAcentral describes it as "tRNA-Ser(cga)". It matches the Rfam family "tRNA". From Rfam's summary of the family: Transfer RNA (tRNA) molecules are approximately 80 nucleotides in length. Their secondary structure includes four short double-helical elements and three loops (D, anti-codon, and T loops). Further hydrogen bonds mediate the characteristic L-shaped molecular structure. tRNAs have two regions of fundamental functional importance: the anti-codon, which is responsible for specific mRNA codon recognition, and the 3' end, to which the tRNAs corresponding amino acid is attached (by aminoacyl-tRNA synthetases). tRNAs cope with the degeneracy of the genetic code in two manners: having more than one tRNA (with a specific anti-codon) for a particular amino acid; and 'wobble' base-pairing, i.e. permitting non-standard base-pairing at the 3rd anti-codon position. The record is from RNAcentral. RNAcentral also lists the same sequence under 4 other names. Lineage: Bacteria; Bacillati; Bacillota; Negativicutes; Selenomonadales; Selenomonadaceae.